UACGUAGGGGGCGAGCGUUGUCCGGAUUCAUUGGGCGUAAAGCGCGCGCAGGCGGCUUCGUAAGUCGGCCGUGAAAUCUCCAGGCUUAACUUGGAGGGGUCGGGCGAGACUGCGGAGCUCGAGGCAGGUAGAGGGCGGUGGAAUUCCGGGUGUAGUGGUGGAAUGCGUAGAGAUCCGGAGGAACACCAGUGGCGAAGGCGGCCGCCUGGGCCUGACCUGACGCUGAGGCGCGAAAGCGUGGGGAGCGAUCCGGAUUAGAUACCCGGGUAGUCCACGCCGUAAACGAUGGGCACUAGGUGUCGGGGGUAUCGACCCCCCCGGUGCCGUCGCUAACGCAGUAAGUGCCCCGCCUGGGGAGUACGGCCGCAAGGCUAAA
This 376-nucleotide ribosomal RNA is filed under the name uncultured bacterium. RNAcentral describes it as "bacterial SSU rRNA". It matches the Rfam family "Bacterial small subunit ribosomal RNA", at positions 524 to 898 of the family's 1533-position model. The record is from RNAcentral.